RNAcentral lists this ribosomal RNA (391 nucleotides) under uncultured bacterium. RNAcentral's name for it is "bacterial SSU rRNA". It matches the Rfam family "Bacterial small subunit ribosomal RNA", at positions 370 to 772 of the family's 1533-position model. The record is from RNAcentral.
AAUGGGCGAAAGCCUGACGCAGCGACGCCGCGUGAGGGACGAAGGUCUUCGGAUUGUAAACCUCUUUCAGCAGGGACGAAGCGAAAGUGACUGUACCUGCAGAAGAAGCACCGGCUAACUACGUGCCAGCAGCCGCGGUAAUACGUAGGGUGCAAGCGUUGUCCGGAUUUAUUGGGCGUAAAGAGCUCGUAGGCGGUUUGUCGCGUCGGAUGUGAAAACCCAAUGGCUUAACCUUGGGCCUGCAUUCGAUACGGGCAGACUAGAGUGUGGUAGGGGAGACUGGAACUCCUGGUGUAGCGGUGGAAUGCGCAGAUAUCAGGAAGAACACCGAUGGCGAAGGCAGGUCUCUGGGCCACAACUGACGCUGAGGAGCGAAAGCGUGGGGAGCAAA